GACGAGGGGUCCAAGCGUUGUUCGGAAUUAUUGGGCGUAAAGGGCGCGUAGGCGGCCAUUCAAGUGACGGGUGAAAGCCCUCGGCUUAACCGAGGAACUGCCUGUCAGACUGGAUGGCUUGAGACCGGGAGAGGUGAGUGGAAUUCCCAGUGUAGCGGUGAAAUGCGUAGAUAUUGGGAGGAACACCAGUGGCGAAGGCGGCUCACUGGACCGGAACUGACGCUGAGGCGCGAAAGCGUGGGGAGCAAACAGG
This 253-nucleotide ribosomal RNA is filed under the name uncultured bacterium. RNAcentral describes it as "partial 16S ribosomal RNA". It matches the Rfam family "Bacterial small subunit ribosomal RNA", at positions 524 to 776 of the family's 1533-position model. The record is from RNAcentral.